Molecule: ribosomal RNA, 252 nt
Filed under: uncultured bacterium
Lineage: Bacteria
Description: partial 16S ribosomal RNA
Rfam family: Bacterial small subunit ribosomal RNA
Source: RNAcentral
UACGGAGGAUGCGAGCGUUAUCCGGAUUUAUUGGGUUUAAAGGGUGCGUAGGCGGGAUGCCAAGUCAGCGGUAAAAAUGCGGUGCUCAACGCCGUCGAGCCGUUGAAACUGGCGUUCUUGAGUGGGCGAGAAGUAUGCGGAAUGCGUGGUGUAGCGGUGAAAUGCAUAGAUAUCACGCAGAACUCCGAUUGCGAAGGCAGCAUACCGGCGCCCUACUGACGCUGAGGCACGAAAACGUGGGUAUCGAACAGG